GCAAGUGGUAGGAAGCCGAAAGGUGACCGACCCUUCGGGAGCUUGCACAGGUGCUGCAUGGCUGUCGUCAGCUCGUGUCGUGAGAUGUUCGGUUAAGUCCGCUAACGAGCGCAACCCUCGCUGUGUGUUAUAUGUGUCACACGGGACUGCCGGUCUUAAGCCGGAGGAAGGUGGGGAUGAUGUCAAGUCAGCAUGGCCUUUAUAUCCUGGGCUACACACACGCUACAAUGGCCAACACAAUAGGUUGCUAAGCCGCGAGGUGGCGCCAAUCCAUAAAGUUGGUCUCAGUUCAGAUUGUAGGCUGCAACCCGCCUGCAUGAAGAUGGAGUUGCUAGUAACCGCAGGUCAGCUAUACUGCGGUGAAUACGUUCCCGGGGCUU
RNAcentral lists this ribosomal RNA (380 nucleotides) under uncultured Leptolinea sp. RNAcentral describes it as "bacterial SSU rRNA". It matches the Rfam family "Bacterial small subunit ribosomal RNA", at positions 988 to 1382 of the family's 1533-position model. The record is from RNAcentral. Lineage: Bacteria; Bacillati; Chloroflexota; Anaerolineae; Anaerolineales; Anaerolineaceae.